AAAAAGGCAAACCCUGAGUUUCCGUGUCUAACUUUGACUGUCCGUCUUAUAUGAAAUUUUUUUAUAAUUCGUAUUUUCAUUGUGGUUAAAUGAUAAAAUAUGGUUAAUAUUUUACGCGUGACUUGUCUUUUUAAUUUUUUCAUAAUUUUUUCAAAUAAGACGGACGGUCAAACGUUGGACACGGAAACCAGUGUUUGUCUUUUUU
Oryza glaberrima (African rice) is the source of this 205-nucleotide non-coding RNA. The record is from Rfam. NCBI's taxonomy places the organism in Eukaryota, Viridiplantae, Streptophyta, Magnoliopsida, Poales, Poaceae.